UACGAAGGUGGCUAGCGUUAUUCGGAAUUACUGGGCGUAAAGCGCGCGUAGGCGGAGUGGUAAGUCAGGGGUGAAAUCCCGGGGCUCAACCCUGGAAUUGCCUUUGAUACUACGAGUCUUGAGGUCGAGAGAGGUGAGUGGAAUUCCGAGUGUAGAGGUGAAAUUCGUAGAUAUUCGGAGGAACACCAGUGGCGAAGGCGGCUCACUGGCUCGAUACUGACGCUGAGGUGCGAAAGCGUGGGGAGCAAACAGG
RNAcentral lists this ribosomal RNA (253 nucleotides) under uncultured bacterium. Its description in RNAcentral is "partial 16S ribosomal RNA". It matches the Rfam family "Bacterial small subunit ribosomal RNA", at positions 524 to 776 of the family's 1533-position model. The record is from RNAcentral.